GUGUCAGCAGCCGCGGUAAUACGUAGGUGGCAAGCGUUGUCCGGAAUUAUUGGGCGUAAAGCGCGCGCAGGCGGUUUCUUAAGUCUGAUGUGAAAGCCCCCGGCUCAACCGGGGAGGGUCAUUGGAAACUGGGAAACUUGAGUGCAGAAGAGGAAAGUGGAAUUCCAAGUGUAGCGGUGAAAUGCGUAGAGAUUUGGAGGAACACCAGUGGCGAAGGCGACUUUCUGGUCUGUAACUGACGCUGAGGCGCGAAAGCGUGGGGAGCAAACAGGAUUAGAUACCCUGGUAGUCCACGCUGUAAACGAUGAGUGCUAAGUGUUAGAGGGUUUCCGCCCUUUAGUGCUGAAGUUAACGCAUUAAGCACUCCGCCUGGGGAGUACGGUCGCAAGACUGAA
RNAcentral lists this ribosomal RNA (395 nucleotides) under uncultured bacterium. Its description in RNAcentral is "bacterial SSU rRNA". It matches the Rfam family "Bacterial small subunit ribosomal RNA", at positions 505 to 898 of the family's 1533-position model. The record is from RNAcentral.